This 497-nucleotide ribosomal RNA is filed under the name uncultured organism. RNAcentral's name for it is "SSU rRNA". It matches the Rfam family "Bacterial small subunit ribosomal RNA", at positions 8 to 509 of the family's 1533-position model. The record is from RNAcentral.
AGAGUUUGAUCCUGGCUCAGGACGAACGCUGGCGGCGUGCCUAACACAUGCAAGUCGAGCGGGGACACUGGAGGAGCUUGCUUCACUGGUGUUCUAGCGGCGGACGGGUGAGUAACGCGUGAACAAUCUGUCCCGGACAGGGGGAUAACACUUGGAAACAGGUGCUAAUACCGCAUAAGCCCACGGUACCGCAUGGUAGAGCGGGAAAAGGAGGAAUCCGGUUUGGGGUGAGUUCGCGUCCGAUUAGAUAGUUGGUGAGGUAACGGCCCACCAAGUCAACGAUCGGUAGCCGACCUGAGAGGGUGAUCGGCCACAUUGGAACUGAGACACGGUCCAAACUCCUACGGGAGGCAGCAGUGGGGAAUAUUGGGCAAUGGGCGAAAGCCUGACCCAGCAACGCCGCGUGAGGGAAGAAGGUUUUCGGAUUGUAAACCUCUGUCCUCAGGGACGAAGGAAGUGACGGUACCUGAGGAGGAAGCCCCGGCUAACUACGUGCC